AGCUCCAAUAGCGUAUAUUAAAGUUGUUGCAGUUAAAAAGCUCGUAGUUGGAUCUCGGGUCCAGGCUGGCGGUUCGUUUCGCGACGACACUGCCCGUCCUGACCUACCUGCCGGUCGUCUCGUCGUGCUCUUCGCUGAGUGCGUCGAGUGGCUGGAACGUUUACUUUGAAAAAAUUAGAGUGCUCAAAGCAGGCCGUUUGCCUGAAUAACCGCGCAUGGAAUAAUGGAAUAGGACCUCGGUUCUAUUUUGUUGGUUUUCGGAACUUGAGGUAAUGAUUAAGAGGGACAGACGGGGGCAUUCGUAUUACGGUGUUAGAGGUGAAAUUCUUGGAUCGCCGUAAGACGAACUACUGCGAAAGCAUUUGCCAAGAAUGUUUUCA
RNAcentral lists this ribosomal RNA (380 nucleotides) under uncultured eukaryote. RNAcentral describes it as "SSU rRNA". It matches the Rfam family "Eukaryotic small subunit ribosomal RNA", at positions 587 to 972 of the family's 1831-position model. The record is from RNAcentral.